UAUUGCACAAUGGGCGCAAGCCUGAUGCAGCGACGCCGCGUGGAGGAUGAAGGCUUUCGGGUCGUAAACUCCUGCCUGGGGGGAUGAAUACUGACAGUACCCCCGGAGGCAGCCCCGUGUAACUACGUGCCAGCAGCCGCGGUAAUACGUAGGGGGCGAGCGUUGUCCGGAUUUACUGGGUUUAAAGGGUACGUAGGCGGACUUUUAAGUCAGGGGUGAAAUCCCGAGGCUCAACCUCGGAACUGCCUUUGAAACUACUAGUCUUGAAUUAUGUUGAGGUUGGCGGAAUACAACAUGUAGCGGUGAAAUGCAUAGAUAUGUUGUGGAACACCGAUUGCGAAGGCAGCUGACUGAACAUAUAUUGACGCUGAGGUACGAAAGCGUGGGGAUCAAAC
This 395-nucleotide ribosomal RNA is filed under the name uncultured bacterium. RNAcentral's name for it is "partial 16S ribosomal RNA". It matches the Rfam family "Bacterial small subunit ribosomal RNA", at positions 362 to 773 of the family's 1533-position model. The record is from RNAcentral.